RNAcentral lists this ribosomal RNA (449 nucleotides) under uncultured bacterium. RNAcentral's name for it is "partial 16S ribosomal RNA". It matches the Rfam family "Bacterial small subunit ribosomal RNA", at positions 29 to 523 of the family's 1533-position model. The record is from RNAcentral.
AACGAACGCUGGCGGCAGGCUUAACACAUGCAAGUCGAACGCUGUAGCAAUACAGAGUGGCAGACGGGUGAGUAACGCGUGGGAAUGUGCCUUUCGGUUCGGAAUAACUCAGGGAAACUUGAGCUAAUACCGGAUACGCCCUUCGGGGGAAAGAUUUAUUGCCGAAAGAUCGGCCCGCGUCCGAUUAGCUAGUUGGUGAGGUAAUGGCUCACCAAGGCGACGAUCGGUAGCUGGUCUGAGAGGAUGAUCAGCCACACUGGGACUGAGACACGGCCCAGACUCCUACGGGAGGCAGCAGUGGGGAAUAUUGGACAAUGGGCGCAAGCCUGAUCCAGCCAUGCCGCGUGAGUGAUGAAGGCCCUAGGGUUGUAAAGCUCUUUCGCCAGGGACGAUAAUGACGGUACCUGGAUAAGAAGCCCCGGCUAACUUCGUGCCAGCCGCCGCUGUAA